RNAcentral lists this long non-coding RNA (818 nucleotides) under Fukomys damarensis (Damara mole-rat). RNAcentral's name for it is "lncRNA (ENSFDAG00000029573.1)". The record is from RNAcentral. Lineage: Eukaryota; Metazoa; Chordata; Mammalia; Rodentia; Bathyergidae.
CUAUAAAUAGAGGCAGAGAGUGUGUGCACUGGGGACUUAGUCCCUGAUCGCGGUUUUCGAACGUGGGUGAUGAGUUCUUUGCUCUGCUCAGUUACUCGGGAGGUGCCUGAAUGUGUGGGGGUGGGAGCGUGGGAGGGGGCUGCCUCCUCUCUCCAUCCCUCGAGCUCUGCCCUCCUUUCUCCUCUCCGUCCCCCCUCAAGGCUCCUCUCCUCCCUUUCCCCCUUCUCUCUGUCUCUCCGUCAGCAUCCCCCCACCCUCUUUCUUCCUCUCCCGUCCGCUUUCUCCUCCCUCUCUCCCCCUCCCGCUCUUUUCUCCCUCUCCCUCCAAGUCUGGCACUGAACGAACUGUUUUGCUUUGCUCCGGGAAGAGUGCAGACACAUAACGUGAAAUCCCGAGCUUUUUGCGUGGUGCAUUUGAGAUGCUUCCUUAUUUAUAUUACCCUCAUUCCCUCACCUCUCCCACCCGCUCAGCAGUCCUUCCAAAUUUCCCUAGAAAUCUGUGUAAAGCAUGCGGAGGGGAAAACAUUUGCACAAAAAGUGAAGGAGCUCGCCAAGGAGCACCAACGACCAAGAGGAGACCAGAUGAGUUUUCAAGGCAGUCCUCACACACCCAGGACACAUGUCAUCCUUUGCCUCGUACUUUCUGCAGUGUCGCUGCUCACGUUCAUCUUCCCGUUAACCCUUGCCAUAAUAUCCCCUCCUGAGCGUCACCUUUCCCCAUUCCCCACCCACUCAGUGCUUUCUCUGAGAUGCCUCCCCGCUCUCCACCCCGGGAAGUGGCUUUGGUUUCUGUUUGGCAAGCUUCCCUUCGAGUUAUAG